This 314-nucleotide long non-coding RNA is filed under the name Elaeis guineensis (African oil palm). Its description in RNAcentral is "long non-coding RNA (EGUI_LNC008693)". The record is from RNAcentral. Lineage: Eukaryota; Viridiplantae; Streptophyta; Magnoliopsida; Arecales; Arecaceae.
UUGAACAGAGGAGGGAGAGGGGUUUUCUUUUUCUUUCUUCUUUUUUUCCUCCAGUGGUAUGUGGCUGCCCCGUGCCCGACCACAUGUCUGUGACAUGCAGGUGUCUGUGACAUGCAGACCCCUGCAUGGCAUCAAAAGCUAACCCUUAGAUGGGUCCAAACUAGCUCGGUCAGAUCAGAUCUCACAAGAUAUCAGUCAAUAAUGAUGAUGAUACAAUCACGAUAUAUGUGAGUAAGAAGACGACUAUCAUCUGAAUGAAGAAUUUAGGGUUUUUCUUUGUACUUAGGGUUGUGACCGCUCUGGAUUGGGGGAAA